UUCCAUAGGAACAGAAGCUCCAUCAGAGCAAGGCUCUUCACUGUGCUGUUCAUUAGAUAGCUUUUAAGCAAAUGAAUUAGCAAAAGGAAUGGUUCUCUGUCAUGGUGCUAAGUAAACAACACAUUUGAGAAACAAAAUAUGCUGAAAUUCAAGAAUUCGGCUUGAAUGACUAUCUGUGUGACUGGCCAACGCUGAGCCACCUCCACACAGUGAGCCCCGCUGAUCACAUGGUGCCCUGCGGCCUCAGGACAGUGUCCUAGCCUCCUUCACAGGGAAAAAUGCAAGAAGGGUUGUUGCCUCUCAGCUCCCCUGACUGCAUUCCGGGUUUUUCUGACUCUGUAAAAAACAAUCAAAUAAAAAUGCUAUCUUCCUAAA
Molecule: long non-coding RNA, 375 nt
Organism: Myotis myotis
Lineage: Eukaryota; Metazoa; Chordata; Mammalia; Chiroptera; Vespertilionidae
Exons: 2
Source: RefSeq, a predicted model, not a curated record